Non-coding RNA from Gasterosteus aculeatus aculeatus (three-spined stickleback), 1861 nucleotides. NCBI's taxonomy places the organism in Eukaryota, Metazoa, Chordata, Actinopteri, Perciformes, Gasterosteidae. The record is from RefSeq and is a predicted model, not a curated record.
GCUGGCGGCUCGCAGCUGUGCUGGGCGCGAGAGGGGACGUGGAAGCAGGAGCAGAAGCGUCGGGGCCACACCGGGAGAGAAAAUAGGUCCCAGUGCAUCUUCAUGUUCUGGGGUCAUUGUAAAAAGGACUUCCCCACCCCCUCCACCGGGAAGAGGCGUCUUCUUGUGUCAUAGUGAGGAGGAUACGGGGCGACAACGUGGGCCUCCUGUCACAGCUGUACAUCAGCCCUCUCUACCUGUAAUGUACUGACAGCCGUCAACUUCUGAACCUUUAGAUCCUUAAUUAGUUCAGCAGGGAGACCUUAGAUCCUCUAGGAGAGAGAGCAAACAAAGACUUCCUUAAUGUAGAUGAAUUUUCUCCAACCUGUUGUUGUAAAUGUCCUGUUUUUGCUCAAUCACGAGUAGAACUGUGCAACCUCUUUGGCUUUGUGCUUUUCUCACCUCCCAUCGUAAUGUACUGAAGUCAGUCAGAAGGAAAUGGAUGAGAGAAAUCUUUCGUUCGAGGAUUCAUGGAUGACAGAAGGAAACAUGACAUUCUGCUGAACAGGAAGUCACGGCUAUAUUGCCACACUUUUUAUCUAAUAAAUUUCACGCCCAGUUUUGGUCAGUAAAAUAAUCAUUAACACAACCUUGCUGUGACUUUAGCAUUUAACACGGGCCUCUGACUCAUACAGAAUAUUAAAUAUUGUUAGGACCCUGAGGGAAAUAUGAGUGCAAGUGGCAGUGCCACUGUUGUACCAUGUCAGCAUUUCAAAGUAGGAUUCACUGUAAGUACGUCCCACUGGUGGUAAAGUGCUGCGACACACCAGCGUCUAGUAUCACAGAAACAACAUUCCUUGUGUCCGUGCGGGAAUGUGCGGCAAUGAGAGUAAUUAUAUAAUUAUACAAUUACAUGACACUUUAAGUCUUUAAUAAUUUAAUUUCUCAUCACAUCUGAGUCAGAGCCAAGGAUUUUUUUCAGGUACAAUGUGGAGGGUGGUCAAGCACCUGUCCUUUUGCCCCAGAUGAGAAAAGUGCCCCUUCUGCAUUUUCUUCAUUCAUCAAUAUUGAAGAGUAAAAAUGACUGUUUCCGUAAUCAGUUCCCCCCAAUGCGUUUAGAUAUCUGACGGGGCAUUUAUUUGAGUUCUUGUGAGAAUUUUGCCCCGACAUGCUCCACGCCACUCAUAAGCCCCGCCCUCCCUCCUCCUCCAAAAAAAUGAACAAACAAAAGCCCGUGUCAAGCUGUCUACUGACUUUGUCAUGUUUAAUGAAGAGCGAGAGAGAGAGAGAGAGAGAUGUAGACAGACAGGCCGAUCAUUUAAAGGCAGUUUUACUGUUCUACAGAUUAGACAAGUUUACUAAUUUUGUUUAAUUUAAUCAAUUACUGAAAUGAAAGGUAGGUCUUAAAUUGAGCUACAUGCCAGUCUAGUGAGGUAUAUUGUAGUUAUUAUUAGUGUAAUGCUGCUUAUGUUUCAACUAUGUCAGAAAACAGUAAAAUAAAAUGUGUGUCAGCUUUAUAGAGAUUAUGUAAGUCACUCUUGAUUAUUAUGCACAACAUUGAUUUAUCUCAUUUUGCUGCAUAAAGAGAGACUCCAUCCAGCAGAUGGACAGGGAAUAUAUCCUACUGUGUUUUUUUAUUUAUUUAUUUUAGUAGUAAUAUUUUUAGUUUUCUGACUAUUUUGGCGAUGCCCUUUUGCUUUGGUUUGAGCCCCUGCCCCCCGAAAUGUCUGUGCACGUGCCUGAUGUGAACCAUGUUUGCCAUCUUUGUUGGACGUAUGCAUUACCGUUCAGUACUGUCAGAUCUUCAAAAAGUGAGUUACUUGUAGUUAAACAUAUCUCCUGCCGGAAGAACCGGACGUGUAAUAAAAAAACAAAAACGUGA